UCGACGAUGCUGAUCUCUUAAAA
RNAcentral lists this non-coding RNA (23 nucleotides) under Cricetulus griseus (Chinese hamster). Lineage: Eukaryota; Metazoa; Chordata; Mammalia; Rodentia; Cricetidae. The record is from RNAcentral.